RNAcentral lists this ribosomal RNA (465 nucleotides) under uncultured bacterium. Its description in RNAcentral is "partial 16S ribosomal RNA". It matches the Rfam family "Bacterial small subunit ribosomal RNA", at positions 28 to 507 of the family's 1533-position model. The record is from RNAcentral.
GACGAACGCUGGCGGCGUGCUUAACACAUGCAAGUCGAACGGAAAGACCCCUUUGGGGGUACUCGAGUGGCGAACGGGGGCGGAACAGGUGAGUAACCUGCCCUUGACUUCGGGACAACGUCAAGAAACUGGGGCUAAUACCGGUUAGGAAUCCUAGCUUCAUGGGGGGGGUUCGAAAGCUUCGGGGGUUUUGGAUGGACUCGCGGCAUAUCGGCUUGUUGGUGGGGUAGUGGCUUACCAAGGCUUUGACGGGUAGCCGGGCUGUGGGGCCGACCGGCCACCUUGGGUCUUAGAGGCGGCACCGACUCCUAAGGGUGGCAGCUGUGGGGAAUAUUGCACAAUGGGCGGAGGCCUGGUGCAGCAGCGCCGCGUGCGGGAUGACGGCCUUCGGGUUGAAAACCGCUUGCAGCAGGGGCGAAGCUUGUGGUGACGGUACCUGCAGAAGAAGCACCGGCUAACUACGUG